Molecule: unclassified non-coding RNA, 330 nt
Filed under: soil metagenome
Description: partial contains 5.8S ribosomal RNA, internal transcribed spacer 2, and large subunit ribosomal RNA
Rfam family: 5.8S ribosomal RNA (bases 1-120)
Source: RNAcentral
GAUGAAGAACGUAGCGAAAUGCGAUAAGUAAUGUGAAUUGCAGAAUUCAGUGAAUCAUCGAAUCUUUGAACGCACAUUGCGCCCCUUGGUAUUCCGAGGGGCAUGCCUGUUCGAGCGUCAUUAUAACCCCUCAAGCUUAGCUUGGUGUUGGGGCUUGCUGUAAUAGAGCAGCCCUUAAAAUCAGUGGCGGUGCCAUUAGGCUCUAAGCGUAGUAAUUCUCCUCGCUAUAGGGUUCUGGUGGAUGCUUGCCAUUAACCUCUAAUUUUCUAUGGUUGACCUCGGAUCAGGUAGGGAUACCCGCUGAACUUAAGCAUAUCAAUAAGCGGAGGA